CAACAUGAGUCAUGCUAGUGA
This 21-nucleotide unclassified non-coding RNA is filed under the name Mus musculus (house mouse). RNAcentral describes it as "oocyte_clustered_small_RNA10092". The record is from RNAcentral. Lineage: Eukaryota; Metazoa; Chordata; Mammalia; Rodentia; Muridae.